This 119-nucleotide ribosomal RNA is filed under the name Pteropus alecto (black flying fox). Lineage: Eukaryota; Metazoa; Chordata; Mammalia; Chiroptera; Pteropodidae. The record is from RNAcentral. RNAcentral also lists the same sequence under 1 other name.
AUCUGCGGGCAUGCUACCCUGAACAAGCCUGAUACCGUCUGAUCUCGGAAGCUAAGCAGAGUUGGGCCUGAUUAGUACUUGAAUGGGAGACCACCUAGGAAGACCAGGUACUGUAGGUG